RNAcentral lists this long non-coding RNA (731 nucleotides) under Nicotiana benthamiana. Its description in RNAcentral is "long non-coding RNA (NBEN_LNC041817)". The record is from RNAcentral. Lineage: Eukaryota; Viridiplantae; Streptophyta; Magnoliopsida; Solanales; Solanaceae.
CAUUUUUGACUUUUAUUUUUAAAACUAGUCUAUUUUAAUUAUUUUUGAUCAAUUUAUAUAAUUUCAACAAAUGGGUCCUCUAAAACUAGUUCCUCAGCUCAACCUCCAAUUAAACACCAAAUUCCACAGAAAAUAUCAACACAAAAAAGAAAAACAACAAUAACAAUGCUUCAGGCUAGGGUCAGCUAUAUAAAUCCACUAUAAUCUAUUCUAUUUAGACCUAUUUCAUUUAAAAGCUUAACAAUCUGCCUUUUAAGACAAAUGGGUUUAUCUAAAGCUAAAAGAUUUUUUUUUUAAUUUUAAAAAAUUCAACAUGUAAAUAAAGAAGAGAAAAAUGGAGCAGAAAAUGGCUCCAAAGUUUCAGCAUUUCGAAAUAAGAUCUCAAAUUCAGAUCAGAUCCAUAUGUAAUUGCAAACAAAGAAAAUGACACUGCAACAUAUAUAAGGUCCAUUCGUGUUCUUACUUCUUAAAAUGAUAAUUAACUGAGCAAAUGAUAAGGGUUUUUGGAGUACCAGGUAAAUGUCUGAUAAGUUGCGUGUGCAAAUUUUGUGUAUCUAUAUUCCGAUAUACUAUAUACGUAUGGUUGAAGAUGACUAUGCAGAAUUCGGAUUCGCCAUUGACAAUAGAGAGAGAAUGAAAGAGAGACAGGGACAGCUUUUUCUAUGGAUGCGUGAAUUUUUUCUCUAAUGUAGGAACAAAUAUUUCUUUAUGUACUUCUUUGUGUUAUUUCA